CAACUUGAGAGUUUGAUCCUGGCUCAGAACGAACGCUGGCGGCAGGCCUAACACAUGCAAGUCGAGCGGGCCCU
This 74-nucleotide non-coding RNA is filed under the name Oceanicella actignis. RNAcentral's name for it is "Bacterial small subunit ribosomal RNA". It matches the Rfam family "Bacterial small subunit ribosomal RNA", at positions 1 to 74 of the family's 1533-position model. Lineage: Bacteria; Pseudomonadati; Pseudomonadota; Alphaproteobacteria; Rhodobacterales; Paracoccaceae. The record is from Rfam by way of RNAcentral.